Non-coding RNA from Cinara cedri, 233 nucleotides. The record is from the annotation of a GenBank genome assembly. NCBI's taxonomy places the organism in Eukaryota, Metazoa, Arthropoda, Insecta, Hemiptera, Aphididae.
AUUACCCCAGAUGGAUAGCAGUAGACGAAUAGAGUGGUAAGUGAACUACUAAAAGCGUCUGAUUAGGCAUCUCGGUCCGCUAAAUGCAACAUUAAUUAGAGUAUGAAUUGAACAUCGAACGAGUACCCAUAUAGUACAGAAUGUCAUUUAGUAUUUUAACCAGUAAAACCUUAAUUGCAUUAUUCUGUUCUCAAAAGUAAUGUAAAAUAAUAAACUUAAAAACCGUACAAUUA